GACGAACGCUGGCGGCGUGCUUAACACAUGCAAGUCGAACGGAAAGGCCCUGCUUUUGUGGGGUGCUCGAGUGGCGAACGGCUGAGUAACACGUGAGUAACCUGCCCUUGACUUUGGGAUAACUUCAGGAAACUGGGGCUAAUACCGGAUAGGAGCUCCUGCUGCAUGGUGGGGGUUGGAAAGUUUCGGCGGUUGGGGAUGGACUCGCGGCUUAUCAGCUUGUUGGUGGGGUAGUGGCUUACCAAGGCUUUGACGGGUAGCCGGCCUGAGAGGGUGACCGGCCACAUUGGGACUGAGAUACGGCCCAGACUCCUACGGGAGGCAGCAGUGGGGAAUAUUGCACAAUGGGCGGAAGCCUGAUGCAGCAACGCCGCGUGCGGGAUGACGGCCUUCGGGUUGAAAACCGCUUUCGCCUGUGACGAAGCGUGAGUGACGGUAAUGGGUAAAGAAGCACCGGCUAACUACGUG
This 468-nucleotide ribosomal RNA is filed under the name uncultured bacterium. RNAcentral's name for it is "partial 16S ribosomal RNA". It matches the Rfam family "Bacterial small subunit ribosomal RNA", at positions 28 to 507 of the family's 1533-position model. The record is from RNAcentral.